AGUGCUGAGAAGUCCUCCUUUUUCGUUGAAUACUGUACUUCAGGACCUGAAGAAGAGACGAGGGAUAGAAGAGAAGACAGGAUACAAAAUGGCCUGCCUUUAGGAGGGAGGGAGGCUGUGCAAGCACUGAAUAUUUACACUAAAGUUUUGGCACUCAAUUUAAUCCAAUCGCUUCAAAAGCAGAAAAUGUAGCAGUGUGCCAAAAUGUUUUUCCCUUUUUGCUCAGUUUAAUUUUUACUACCUAUGUUUCAUAUGUAGCACAUAAAACAUCAUAUUAUUAUGUUGUUAAAAUGCGUGUCUUGAAGAAUUGCUGUGCAGUUUUCAAAAAUAUAUUGUUUGUUUGUAAAAGUGGUCAUAUGAUAUCCUUGUUCAGGUAUAAUUGAUAGUUAUAAAUGUAGAUUAUUUCUAAAUCAGGGUUUUUGAGAGUAUCUCAUCAAAGAAUCAGUUGUUUCUAUUGUGUGGCUUUUUGCAGUGUUCAUUGGUAGUACAUAGUUUGAAGCCCUAUUAUUCCAAAUCUGGUCUUUAGGGUGGGGUCAAUUCUAUUUCAUUGAUGAAGUAAACAAAGUUUCAAAUUCCAAUUUUCCCCAAUGCUUUUCAAUGAGAGAAAAUAUUUGGAAUUUUUGUUUAUUUCCUGAAUUGACUGAAUUUGAAUGUAAUUGACCCAACGCUACACUAAGGUCAUACUGUCAAUCAGAAUGACUUAUAUGUUACAUGACCUAACUAGAUAAAAGUUUACAUGCAAAUCAUAUAUUAUUAUUAAGUUUUCCUACUGCGAAAGGGAAAGAACCUGCCAAAGUUUCAACAUUUGUCUUAUUUUUAUGGAAAAAUUAUUAAAUGACUAGGGCUUAUUCAUGGCAUAAGUUAGAAAUUAUUGGAAAAAGUUAGAAUAUAUGAGUUCCCAUUUUUCAGUAUUAAUUAUUAUUAUGCCGCCCUAAAAUCAGUUGGUUUCCUUUAACUUAUUUAUAAUGUGGUCCAGUUUGACCAGAGUAGCCUAUGCUCUCAGAUGUGUUGUAACCACUGGGCACUUUGCAAACAUAAAUAUGUGAAUCAACAAUUUGCCUCUUAUUGUGUGUUGAAUUCAUGUUGAGCAUGACAUGGCACUAUAUAGAUUAAAGACGAAAGUUACACUGCAUGUAACUGUAUAAAAGUUUGAAGUGUAUCUUUGUAUAUUUCCUUGUAAAAAUUACAGUAACUUAUUUUUUUGUUCAGGUUUUUGUGGUUGUAUGGAUAUCCAAAGUGGCAUUUUCUGUGCAUUGUUAUGUAAAUACUUUUAAAAUGUUGUUUUUGGAUACAAAGGUUGCAAAACUGAGCCUAAUUAAAAAUAUACCUGUAUAUUUUGUAUUGUGUCUCUGAAAAAGGCAAUCAUUUGCUAAAAAAUAUAUAUUGGGUUAAAUAAAAAAUGACUUAUUAUUUUCAUAAUUGCAUAUUAUGUGCCCAUUCAUUUUCCUCCAUAUGUCCACAUUGUCAC
Molecule: long non-coding RNA, 1468 nt
Organism: Oncorhynchus tshawytscha (Chinook salmon)
Lineage: Eukaryota; Metazoa; Chordata; Actinopteri; Salmoniformes; Salmonidae
Source: Ensembl